CCUUGGUUAGCUCAGUUGGUGGAGCCGCUCCACUGGAAAUGGAGAGGUCCCGGGUUCGAUACCCGGACCAGGCG
Molecule: transfer RNA, 74 nt
Filed under: Ixodes scapularis (black-legged tick)
Lineage: Eukaryota; Metazoa; Arthropoda; Arachnida; Ixodida; Ixodidae
Description: tRNA-Ser for anticodon GGA
Source: RNAcentral